UAUAGUUAUUGACUCUGUAAUGGGAUGGGAUCCGAAGCCCUCCGAGGGAUAACAUAAGCUCUCCCAUCCAACUCCUAUUCCGACACCUCCUCGUCGUGCAGAGUGGUAACAUGUGCCUCCGUAUAUCCUAGCUUGGGUACACGGGCUAGAUCCAACCCCUUGGGCGGAUGGUGGCAUAUGGCGAACCAGGAGGGG
This is a non-coding RNA of Anopheles gambiae (African malaria mosquito), 195 nucleotides long. The record is from Rfam. Lineage: Eukaryota; Metazoa; Arthropoda; Insecta; Diptera; Culicidae.